Molecule: long non-coding RNA, 13714 nt
Filed under: Malus domestica (apple)
Lineage: Eukaryota; Viridiplantae; Streptophyta; Magnoliopsida; Rosales; Rosaceae
Description: long non-coding RNA (MDOM_LNC013486)
Source: RNAcentral
AGGUUGCUGUUUUGAGUUUUAUGUUUGUUUAAGUAUUUUAAAGUAUAGUUUUGCAUUCUUUGAGUCUAGUUUAUUGUUUUAAAUUUUGUUUUUAUGUUUUUAAGUCAGUUUUCAAGUGUUUAGCAAUCUCUCCUAAUCCCCGGCCUAGAACGAUCCCUACUUACAUACUUUACUACAUUUGAUAAAAAGAGGGUUUAAUUUUGUGUGUUAACUUAUUUUUCACAUCAGAUCUAACGAUCCAAAGCAUCCAUCUAUGACCAACUUGUAAUUUAUGUUUUAGAGGUGUCACAACUCAGUGGGAUUACUCACUACCUUGCAACCUUUUGGGUUUUAAGCAUCGUUAUAUUCUAAACAGUUAACACUAUCACAUCAUCUCUACUAUAUAGACAAUCAAUUAGGUUACAAUAAUCCAAUCAUUCAUUAAUAAGGAACAAUGUUUUGUCAAACAAAACAUUCAUCCAUCUCUUAAAAUUAUAGUGACGGAAUUAAGUUCCUUAUUUAAAUUGGAAUGUAAGGACAAUCUUUGUUUUUCCAAUUUCUUUGGUAGUUCAUAUGAGGAAGUAAGUACUAUCUACUUUUGUAGAGAUCUAUAUUUUAUUCAUGUUCCGAAUGUGAAGUAAUUUCUCUUCUCUCAUUAAUCUUCUACUUCUUAUUAGCCACACGUUUACAAUGAUUGUAAUACAUAGUUACUAAUACGGAAUCAAGCAUUCAAGUAGAAGAACCAACUGUUUUGAACUAUUCAAGAACAAUUUACACCACCUUCAAAAGGUGUGUUCUUGACACUUGCAAGACAUUUCUUGCAAAUAACCCUUCCAAAUGUCCAUCCUUUCAAAAGAAAGUUUGUUCCCCUGGAGUUAUUUUGCCUUCUUCAUUUGACUUGUCCAUUCACUACCAUAAUCAUGGCCCCUUAAACUCCCACUAUCUCUCUUGAAACUUAUUUCAAUUAUGUUAUACACAUCAAACGAUUUGGAGAGUGUGUGGUUAUUGUUCACUAUAUAGUUUACAAUAAACUUAGUGAACCAUUUGGAUAGGGACUUAAGGGUGAAGUCCUUGCCUAGUUUCAGUCUCCUGAAGUGGUUUAACACUUUAACACUCAAUGAUUGAAAAUCAUCAUAAGUCUUUGUUGAUGGACUAUUUUUGUCAAUCAACCAUUAUAUUCUAAACAUGAUUACAAACUUUCAAGAGUUGUUCGAGGCAACUCUCAUCUUUUCAUACAAUGAUUUGUAAUGGACGAAUUAUGACACUAAAAGUGUCCAUGUCGUUGUGCUAAUCUUCUCAAGUUCCUUUGUUCAUACAACAAGGGAAUAAGCAUUUGUUGUUUGUAUUGUCCUCUUUAUGAUAGACUUAUCUAACAUGUUCUUCCAAUGAUACAUUAUCAAUAGGAGGUAUAUAUACAAUCCAUUCAAGACAAUCUAUGGGUUUGUGGUACCAAGUCCCGAAACUAAAGCCUUCGGCUUUUCUUUGUCAAGUUUUGGAUAGCGUUUGCAAAUAUAUUGAUAAAUAAAUACAUAACGAAUAUAAAUUGAUUGAUUUUAAGCUAUUUGAUUUGGGUCCUUAAAUCAAAUAGGACCGCCCAUUAUUUUUGGCAAAUUCCAUAUCCCGCAUUGGAAUUUGAAAGUUUUGGAGGAAACUCUUAGUAGGGUAUGGGAGGCUCACUAUUACCAAGCCCACCUCACAAUGAUAUGAUGUUGGCUAGCAUCAAUAAUAAUGGGAGAGUACGCUUACUCAUUUACACCUCAUGUAAGUACCCAUCUUAUUUGGCCUCUAGAGAAUGAUGCCUCACAAUGAUAUGAUGUUGGCUCCAUUGCACUUAGUUAAGUCAUUCCCACCAUGCAAGUUCGGGUAGGGGUUCAAGAGCAACCUCACAAUGAUAUGAUGUUGAUCAUUCUUGUUGCCUACCUUCACAACAUCAUAUAUGCGUAUAGAACUUGUAACAUCCCACAUUGCCUAGUGGAAUAGAUCCUUUAAGUUUUAUAUUUAUAUUCCCAUCUCUACCUAGCACGAGGCCUUUUGGGAGCUCACUGGCUUCGAGUUCCAUCGGAACUCCAAAGUUAAGCGAGUUCGUGUGAUUGCAAUCCCAGGAUGGCUGACCCACUGGGAAGUUCUCAUGUGAGUUCCCAGAAACAAAACCGUGAGGGUGUGGUCGAGGCCCAAAGCGGACAAUAUCGUGCUACGACAGAGUCGAGCCCGAGGUGUGGUAAGGGCCCGGGCUGAGACAUGACAGAACUCCUGAGUUUAAGCACAUACUUUGUACUCCUCCAUGAUAGGGUGAAGUUGGUGUAUGAGUCACAAACGAUCAGAGCCUACCACGGUGAAAGGCCACAAAAGAAUGUUCAAAGCACUCUGACGCUUGUCAACUUAAUAACAAUUUAGUUGAGGGUUUUUAGGCAUCAUCACAUAUAAGCAUGCAUUUUAAUCUCAUUAAAACAAUUUGGUCCUAUUACAACUGUUGGUCCAUGUGAUUGAUUUAGUAGUAUAUGAUACUCCCACUAUGCUUGCAAAAUGAUUUUUAUAGUAAGAGUGUAUGGUACUACUAACAUAAGCUUUGCAUUCAUUGAUGGACUAUAUAGUUGCCUUAGGGCCUUAAGAUGACUAUGAACCUUUGAUUCUAUCCAACACGACCCUGGGGUUGGAUCUUGGUCUAGGGAUGGUGAUUGAUUUUACUUAUGCGUUUAAUCACAUUAAGGCGUGUUUACUUAUUGGGCGUUCGACCCAACUACUCCAAUUUCAUGCAUGUCAAAUAAAACAAGAGAUGAGUACUUCAAAGUAAAGAAGAGCUUAUGCUCUUUUACAACAUUUGAUCAACUCAAAAUACUUUAAAGUAGAGAAGAGCUUAUGCUCUUUUACAACAUUUAAUCAUAUCAAAUUACAACCAAAAACUAAUCUACACAUUCCCAUGGUUCAAACAAAUUUGAGAGAAGGCCUUUCACAUAGCUCAAUUAUUGUAGGCUUAAGUUCAUAAUCACCCUUUCUUUAAUUAAUUAAUGCUUUAACUAAUUAAACUUGAAUGCAACAUUAUCAUUUGGUUUUUGUAUCCAUAGAAUAGAUUUAAAUGGAGCUAAAAUAAAUGAAAAUCCAAUUCUCAUUUAAAGAGACAAAACUAUUUUGUUCUCAACUAAUUUGGGCCAAAAUACAAUAACCUCAACUUUUGGGCUAUAUUGUAGAAUACAAACUUUUUAGGUCACUUUGUCAAAACACAAAAUUUCACUACUUCAUGUAAUUACAACUAGAACCCAAAAAUUUCAACAAAUACAAAAACUUCAUUAAAGGAGCAACUGGAGAACCUAGGUACUCAGCUUGACGGGGAAUUGGCCCAGGACUUCAGCUUGGCUUUUCUUUCUGAUUCGUUCUCACAGUUCGUUAUGAACUACAACAUGAACAAGAUGGAUAACACUCUCUAUGAGUUACUAAACAUGUUAGUACCGUUGAGAAGAUUAUGAAGAAAGAGAAUGUUGUGGGGACUUCUGCAGUAGCCUACAACAAGCCAUCCACUUCCAAAGCCAAGUCGAAAGGCAAAGGCAAAGGAAAGGAGAAGAAGUCAUCCACUCCUAAGGCCCCAGGAGAGUGAGGAAGAAGAAGGCAAAGGAGCCCAAUGGGACCUGUCACCACUGUGGAAAGGACGGGCAUUGGAAGAAGAAUUGCAGGCUAUACCUUGCAUCUCUGAAGGACAAGCCAUGAAGUAUGGUUUUUGUUCUUAUCUUCCAUUCUAAUUAUUAGAUCUUCUAAUCUUUAUAUUUGAUAGAAAAUGCUAAUCACAUAUGCAAUUGUAUGUAAGUGAAGGACCCAAGUAGAAGAUGGACGAGCAAAGAAAGGAUGGAGUGAAGGGUUCGGCCAUUAUUUUUUGCUAACUACUUAGGAAGUUUGUUAGGCACUUUAAAGAUAGUCUUUAAACUUUCUUAUUUUGCUAAGAACUUAUUAUGUGGCUUUAUAUGAUGGAAGACCCACUUUUGGUGCCUAUAUGAAGGUAUAUAAUUAGUCUCUAAUGUAAGAGCUGAAGGAAAUAUUUGUAAAAACAAGUUCAUUUGAGCAACAUCUAUGCAUGCUAUUAACAAUUAAAAAGCGGAAUCAUGCCUGUAUGCACUCAAAAACAAAACUUAACCCAUGAAAUUCAAAGCCUAGUAGCUAUGGUGAACCAAGACUCAACUCAAAAUAAAGUGAGUUGAGAAACUUUAUACCUUUGAAGCACCUCUUUGCUUAGCAAACGUUAAUCACCUAUGUGAGGGCCUUCUUUCCUUUGUCAACUUGCUCUUUGGCUCCAUGGAUUUGGAUGGAGGAACUUUGCUUCUUGGCUCCAUGUCUUCUUGGAUAUGGAUGGAAGAAUUGGGUUCUCCAAAAGUCCCCAAAGUUGGAGACCUCUAAGUUUCGACACCAAGGAUGGUUAAUGAAGAAGAUGAGUGACCAUGGACUAAUUAGAUGCUAGUAAAUGACCCAUGGUGGCCGGCCUCCUAGAGAGAAAAAGGAGAGCUUUUGUUUUAUCCAUUUUCCUCAAGAAAACCCUAAUGAAGAAAAAGCUAUAAAGUCACAUUUAUACCUACCUUUAAUGGAGUGGCAAACUUGUAAUAAGUCUAAAACCCACUCCCUCUCUAAGCAUGACCAGCCUCCCUAUUUUUAGUGGGUUAAUUGCCCAUUUUGUGUUAGUUGUCACACAACUUAAACCUUAUGUGCAUUGUCGACCAAAACCCUUUUUGUGUCCCAAAACCCAAAACUAACUUAAGGCCAAAAACGAACCUUUCACUCUAGAUUAAUGAACUUUUAAUUAAUCCUUGCCAUAUACAAUUAAACUAAUUAAUUGUCCUUACUCAUCUUCGUUAUAUCCUUCAAUCAUUACCUUACAUGCUGUAUGAUCCAUUAGGUUCCUUUCAGCGAGGCAGUGGGCGAUAAGAACUCUUCAAAUCAAUUGUGAAUUGAAACAUACUUUCAAUUCUCCCUUUAGUUAUUACUCAUUUUUAGGGCUUCCACAAACCAUGAGUGACACCUAGCAGUAUGUCAUGGCUACCCAAGCUAAUCAGAAGAGGUGGAUAACCUUUUCAGUUUAGGAUUACAAUGCAAUAUGGUCUUGACCACAUUGUUUGGUUUGAUAGUUUAUUCAUGUCUGCUAUCCAAUGUGAUUCUCUUACUUAUAUGUUUACUUUGAACGUGAUUUUGAAUGACUUCCUAAGUGUCAUUCAUACUAUGGCCAGAGAUUCUUAAUCAUAUCAUAGUGUAUGUUCCCUCAAACGGUUUGAAGGUUAAAAAUCCCUUGUUGCGCAUUCACUUACCUUCACGGCAAAGUGGCUUAACCCCAGCUAUGUCGUGGACACCCUCUGACGGAGUGACUUUAACAUAGUCAAAGAUCAAGGACCUAACCAUAAGACAACUAUGAUGCCUCAGGUCAAAGGACUACUUUGCAUUAUCCCAACCAUGUGUUCUCAUGUGACAUGCAUAUGAGAACUUCUUGUUGAUCGUGUUCAGUGGACUCAUUCUCUAUUAAGUAUCUACAUGCUUCUCUUGGUGUCAGUCACACCAAUGACUCGAGACCAGUCACUUUCCUUAAGAGAAGACAUAGCACGUACUGAUCUUAAUGGACCGUCAAUUCCCAAUUGGCAAUCCUAUGAUCAGGAACUUUUAGGAUAUGUAUACGAAAGAGCAUGGUCUCAUGAAUCUAACUUUUGUAGAUCACAUUCUCCCAAUUACAUAUUCCUUGGACAUAUCGUUUAAGCAUAUAACAUUUAUAUGAGACGGUUUAAAACAAUAAUCUUUGCCCUUUAUAUUAAACUAGAUUAGUUUAACAUGUAAAAUGUUCGUAAAGUAUCAUCAUAUGAUUGGUUUGACGGCACAUUUCCAACAAUCUCCCUCUUGCACUAGAGCCAAUCAGCUUGGUCAUCAGUGAUGAUACCUCAUCUGAAUUCAUUUCAAAAAUGGCUGAGUAGUAGGCCUAGACAAUGGAUAUCUAUAUGUUAUCCAUAGAAGCAACCUUGAGAAUAACGACGUCACCAUUAUACAUGAUUCUCAAUCAUGUGGUUCAGUCUCUCAUUUGAGUUCGGAUCUUGAUGAAACCUUGAUUCCCUGGCUUGAGCUAUCGCCCCAUUAGUGUCGUAGUGUCUGCACAUUAGAGACACUUUCUGGUUGGAACCGAAAUGGAGAGUUCAUAAAUGAACUUUCCCAUUUAAACAACAAUGUUGUAAGCUUCUAUAUGGCGAUAUAUUUUGCAUGAUGGAACACACUAAAGUCAUUACUUUUAACGUUUCCACCCAAAUAUCUCUUUAGUCAUCAUAAAGAGAUAUCCUAUUAUCUCUUCAUUCAAAAUGAAGAGACAUCCAAUGAUGGAGUGUUGGAAAUGUGCCCUAAAACCAAUCAUAUGAUGAUAUUUUAUGGACAUUUCACAUGUUAAACUAAUCUAGUUUAAUAUAAAGGGCAAAGAUUAUUGUUUUAAGCCAUCUCAUAUAAAUGUUAUACGCUUAAACAAUAAGUCCAAGGAAUGUGCAAUUGGGAGAAUGUGAUCUAAAGAAGUUAGAUUCAUGAGACCAUUCCUUUUCGUUUACAUAUCCUAAACGUUCUUGAUCAUAGGAUUGCCGAUUGGGCAUUGACAGUCCUUUCAGAUCAGUACGUGCUAUGUCUUCUCUUAGGGAGAGUGACUGGUCUCUAGUCAUUGGUGUAAUUGACACCAAGACAAGCAUGUAGGUGCUCAAUAGAGAAUGAGUCCACUGAAAAUGAUCAACAAGGAGUUCUCAUACUCAUGUCACAUGAGAACUCAUGGUUGGGAUAAUGCAACGUAGUCCUUUGACUUGAGGCAUCAUAGUUAUCUUGUGGUUAGGCCCUUGAUCUUUGAUUAUAUCAAAGUCACUAUGUCAGAGGGUGUCCACGACAUAGUUCGGGUUAAGCCACUUAGCCAUGGGGACAAGUGAAUGCUAAACAAGGGAUCUCUAACCUUCAAACCAUUUGAGGGAGAAUACUCUAUGAUAUAAUUAAGAAUCUUUGGCCAGAGAAUGAAUGCGAUUUAGGAAGUCCUUCCAAAUCACAUUCAAGGUAAUCCUAUAAGUAAAAGAAUCACAUUGGAUAGUAAACAUGAAUAAACUAUCAAACCAAACAAUGUGGUCAAGAGUAUUGUAUUAGUGAAAGACCGUAUUGCAUUGUAAUCUUAAACGGAAUAGGUUCUCCACCUUUUCUGAUUAGCUUGUGUAACCAUGACAUACUGCUAGGUGUCACUCAUGGUUUGUGGAAGCCUUGGUAAUAUUCAUCAAAGGGAGAAUUGAAAUGUUGUUUCAAUUCACAAUCGAUCGUUAAGAGUAACAAUCAUCCACUGCCUCACUAAAAGGAUCUUAAUGGAUCGUACAUCGUGUAAAGUAGAGAUUGAAGAAACAACGGAGUUGAGUAAGAACAAUUAAAUGGUUUAAUUGUUUAUGGCUAAGAUUAAUUAAUAUGUUAAUUAAUCAAACGAAUAAGUUUGUUUUAGACCUCAAGUUAGUUUUGGGCCUCAAGGCCCAAUGGGUUUCGAAUGUCAAGCCCAUUGACUUAAGUUAUAUGACAACUUAAUGAAUAAAGAUUCAAGAGGACCCAAACAGCCCGAAGACCAUGGAAGGCCGGCCAUAUUGAUGAAAUAGGGUUUUGGUUCUUUUUGUCACUUAAGUGAUGUGACUAUAUAAAGAACUUUAUAGCCAAAAUUCAUUAAGGAUUCUUUUAGAGGAAAUUGGAUAGAACAAGUCUCUCCCUUUCUCCCUAGGAGGUCGGCCCCUUGGAGGUGAUUAGCUAGCAAUCUACCCUCCUCGAAGGUUACUCAUCUCUUCUUCUAGUCUCUCCUUGGUGUGGAGACUUAGAGGUUCUCUACUUUGGGAACUUGGAGAAUCCAUUCUACCAUCCUCAUCCAAGAAAUCCAUGGAGCUAAGAAGGAAUGAAGGCCCUAUCUCUUGGGUGAUUAGCCUUUGCUUAUGCAAAGAGGAAUCAACAAAUAUAUAAUAUUUCUCAACUCACUUUGUUCUUGAGUUGAGUCUUGGUUCACCACACUCACUAGGCCAUGAAUUUCAUGGGUAAAGUUUUGUUUUUGAGUGCAUACAAGCAUGAUUCCGUCUUUAAUUUUUAAUUGCAUGUUGUAGAUGUUGCGCAAAUGAACUUGUUUUCACAAAUAUUUGCUUCAAGGAGAUCUCCUACGAGGCACCAGAGUGGAUAGCUGCACAGCAAACUGAGGGAAGCAUGAGAGAAGUCCGACUCAAGUUAAAUUGGCAACCCAUGCUACGUGCUAAAUGCGACAGCGAGUACAUAUCCUAAACGUUGUGAAAGAGUAGCACAUGCCAGUAAGUCAACACCGGGGGCAACUGGAGGCUCUAAUACCCCAACAGAGGCAAAUUGACAUAGCCCGCCCUGUAAUGUUCACUAGGACUCCAAAUCGAGCUGUGCUGGCUGACACCUGGAAGGUGACGAAGCCAUAAAGUAUAAUGAUGGGGAAAAUGUGAAUAAAUUUAAAUCUAAAAAUGUCUAAAGACCAGAGUACGCUGUCAGAGCAUAAGUAAAGUACAGUAGUGUGGAUAAGGAUCAUACCCUUAGAGGUACCCACCUAUACUGAGACAUCAUACUAAGGUUUCAUUACGAUCCAAAGGUUGGGUCUCCGCCAAUUGAAAUUUCAAGUGGCGGUCACAAUGGCAUAUGAUCUCUUCUUAGCCAACACCUUCUUUAAGAAGAGAGAAGUGAAGGAUUUAUUUUGAAAAACAUGUUCAUUUGAGCAACAUCAUAUAGCAUGCAAUUAACAAUUAAAGGCGGAAUCAUGCUUGCAUGCACUCAAAAACAAAACAUUACCAUGAAAUUCAAAGCCUAGUAGAUUGGUGAACCAAUAAUCAACUCAAAACAAAGUGAGUUGAAAUUAUUACCUUUGUAGAUUCCUCUUUGCAUAAGCAAAGGCUAAUCACCCAAAGAGAUAGGGCCUUCAUUCCUUGCUUCUUAGAUCCAUGGAUUUGGAUAGAAAAUAGGUUUCUCCAAGUUCCCAAAAUAGGGAACCUCUAAGUCUCUUCACCAAGGUUUGAUUGUAGAAGAAAUGAGUGACCUUGGAGUAGUAGGAUUGCUAGAUGUACCCUCCAAGGUGUUGGCCUCUUUAGAGAGAAAAUGGAGAGACAAUUCUCACCCAUUUUCACCCAAAAUAAACCCUUAAUCACCUUAAUGAAUAUUUGGCUAUAAAGUCCUUUAUAUAGUCACUUCUUUAAGUGACCUAAACAACCAAAACCCUAAUUCAUCACCAUAUGGCCGGCCACCUAAGGAAUUUUGGGCUUUUGGGCUUUAAUGAAUCUUUAUUCAUUAAAUUGUCAUACAACUUAAGUUAAUGGGCUUGACGUUCGAAGCCCAUUGGGCCUUAAGGUCCAAAACUAUCCCGAGGUCUUUAACGAACUUAUUCGUUUGAUUAAUUAACAUAUUAAUUAAUCCUUGCCAUAAAUAAAUGAUUAAACCAUUUAAUCAUUCUUACUCAUUUCCGUUUAAUCUCCAAUCUCCUACCUUUUUUACGGGUGUGCGAUCCAUUAGGUUCCUUUUAGCGAGGUAGUGGGCGAUUAAAAACCAUUUUACAUCGAUUGUGAAUUGAAACUUAUUUUCAAUUUCUCCCUUUAGUGAUUACACACGUUUAGGGCUUCCACAAACCAUGAGUGACACCUAGCAGCAUAUCAUGGUUACCCAAGCUAAUCAGAAGAGGUGGAGAACCUAUUCAGUUCGGGAUUACAAAUGCAAUACGGUCCUUCUCUAAUCUAAUACUCUUGACCACAUUGUUUGGUUAUGAUAGUUUAUUUACUCAUGUCUACUAUCCAAUGUGAAUCGUUUGCUUAUAUGAUUUCCUUGAAUGUGAUUUGGAACGCAUUCCCCUAAAUCUCAUUCAUACUCUGGCCAGAGAUUCCAAAUCAUAUCAUAGAGUAUUCUCCCUCAAAUUGUUUGAAGGUUAGAGAUCCCUUGUUGCGCAUUCACUUCUCUCCAUAGCUAAGUGGCUUAACCCCAACGAUGCCGUGGACACCCCGAAGGGGGUGAAUUGACAUAAUCAAAGAUCAAGGACUUAACCACAAGACAACUGUGAUGCCUCAGGUCAAAGGACUACUUUGCAUUAUCCCAACCAUGAGUUCUCAUGUGACAUGGAAUAUGAGAACUCUUCGUUGAUCACGUUCAGUGAACUCAUUCUCUUAUUGAGCACCUACGUACUUGUCUUGAUGUCACACACACCAAUGACUCGAGACUAGUCACUCUCCCUGAGAGAAGACACAGUACGUACUGAUCUUAACGGACUGUCAAUGCCCAAUUGGCAAUCCUAUGAUCAGGAACAUUUAGGAUGUGUCUACGAAAGAAUGGUCUCAUUAAUCUAACUUCAUUAGAUUGCAUUCUCCCAAUCACAUAUUCCUUGGACUUUAUCGUUUAAGCAUAUAACAUUUAUAUGAGACGGCUCAAACAAUAAUCUUUGCCCUUUAUAUGUUUAAACUAGAUUAGUUUAACAUGUGAAAUGUCCGUAAAGUAUCAUCAUAUGAUUGGUUUUAGGGCACAUUUCCAACAAUCUCCCACUUGCACUAGAGCCAAUCAGCUUGGUCAUCAGUGAUGAUACCUCUUCUGUAGUCAUUUCAUAAAUGGCUGAAUAGUAGGCCUAGGCAAGUGGAUAUCUAUAUGUGUUAUCCAUAGAAGCAACCUUGAGAAUAACGACGUCACCAUUAUACAUGAUUCUCAAUCAUGUGGUUCAGUCUCUCAUUUGAGUUCGGAUCUUGAUGAGACCUUGAUUCCCAGGCUUGAGCUAUCGCCCCAGUGUUAGUGUCAUACACUUUCUGGUUGGAACCGAAUAGAGAGUUCAUAAAUGAACUUUCCCAUCCAAACAACAUUGUUGUAAACUUCUAUAUGGCAAUAUAUCUUGCAUUCAUAAUGGAACACACUAAAGUCAUUACUUUAAUGUUUCCAUCCAAAUAUCUCUUUAGUCAUAAUAAAGAGAUAUUCGUUUAUCUCUUCAUUCAUAAUGAAGAAACAUCCAAUGAUGGAUUAGAUUCAUAAUCUAAUACAUUUACGCUUCCAUUACGUUACUCUAAUUCUUCCUCGAUCUUUGAGGAAUUUAUCCUUUAGUAUUUCUUAAAUACUUAAGGACUCACUUGACAGUUGCCAUGGUUCUGAUCCUGGGCUUGCACUGAUAUCGUCUUGUACCGUUCUAGGUACAACUCAUAUCAAUGUUUUUCAUACAAUAUGAAAUACAUAAAUCACCUUUCUGCGUAUGCAUAAAGGAUUCUAUUUACGCAUUAUUUCUUUGGGAGUCAAAGGGUACGUUCCCUUUGAGAAGGGCAACUUGCUAGUCUCACUAGAAUCGUCCUUCUUAUUGAAGUUUAUCAUCAUAUGAGAAACUUCCUAGCAUCCAUUGUCUAUUAUUAGGGAUUGAUAUAAUCCAAUUAUAUCAUGAAAUAUAUCAUUAUAGAUUUCCAUCCCAUGUAUAUAGACUAUAUCUCCCAUAUAUACAUUCUAUCUUCAUAUAAUGUAUUAAAGUCAUAACUUUAACGAAGAAGUAUUCUUUUUCAUUUCCAAAAUUAAUAUAUCAUAUAUAUUUAAAUUUUUAGGAACAUGAUUAACUCCCACUAAUCUUUUGUAAACCUAGUAAACAAAAGAUUCAUUUACAUCUUUAUGAGAAAUCAAACGAUUUGAUCCUUUUUCUCAUAAAGAUGCAAAUAGCUCCCACUAGCUUGCUAAGAUCCAUGAUGGAUGGAUCUCUACAACUUACAUGUCUUGUGAUUUAUAGUUUUAGACAUAUAUUAUCAAGACUAUCUUAAUAAUGGUUUCGGAAACCCAUAUUAUGUCCAAACAUUGAAUCACCAUUUAGUUGUAGCUAGCAAUCUUCGAAUUAAUUGAAACUAAGACUACGUCAAAAAUGGUUUCCUUCAAAGUCAACCAUUCUCUUUGAUUGUAGUCACCUUAAGCUACCAAUUAGCUUAUGAAGGUUUCAUUAUUUCGGGUCAAAUGGUACUUUACCAUUUCCUUGAGUAUAUAUCGUAUAUGUACUCAAUGUAGUCAUAAAGUUCAAAACCAUUCAACUGAGACGGUUUAUAAAUCCUUAUCGACUACCUUGGAGCUUGUGGUAUAGGAACUAGGUUGUUAUAUUUGUUGAUUACUUAUCUUGUCUCUCAAAGAACCCAUUCUUUGAGUUUCUAUCUCUCGUUCAUUUGCUUUUAGGCAAAUCACAUUGUAGAGGAUUACAAUGAACUACCCAACAAAACAACAUUUGUUAGUUGGUUUAUAGAAGCGAUAUCCAAAAGUUAAUUUAAGGAUAUCCUACAAGAUUGUUAUCAAACAAAUAUUGCUUAUUAGCACACAACCCCAAAUCUUAACAUGCUUAAGAUUUGUCUUUCUUUCCAACUACAUCUUAUGGAGUCAUGAAAAAUAUUGGAAGAUCUUCUAAUUGACAAUCAUAUUGUUUUAGAAGUAUAUAUCCUAUAUAUGGGUAAUAGAUAACAUCUAACGAACUAAAUCUUAUUCGAGUUCGUUCUUCUCCUAAUGGAGAAAUAUAUUAUCUUAUGAUGCUAUUUUCCUUGAUAUCUUUCAAGGAAACUUAUCUAAAGUGUUACCUUUCCUUGGAUCAAAUCUAAGGAGGUAAAUACUUUAGAUGUCUUACUCAUCAACUUACAUUUACUUGAAUUCUUUGAAACCUUUUGCAAAGUAUUCGGACUUGUGUUUAUUCAAAAUAAACUAUAGUCCAACCGAGAGUGAUCUUCGGUGAAUGUCAUUCAACAUGAGUAGUAUUAUGUUUGUGGACAAGUGCCACUAACAUCUAAGUGAAUUAACCUCAACAACUUUGUGAUUCUUUCUUCUUUCCAAAAGAAUAAAGAUUCGAACAUUUCGCCUCUAUACAAUUUUAACAAGAAGGUAUUGGAUCCGGAUCUAACGAUCCAAAGCAUCCAUUUAUGACCAACUCGUAAUUUAUGUUUUAGAGGUAUCACAACUUUAGUUGGGAUUAGUCACUACCUUGCAACCUUUUGGGUUUUAAGCAUCAUUAUAUUCUAAACAGUUAACACUACCAUAUCAUCUCUACUAUAGAGACAAUCAAUUAGAUUACUAUAAUCCAAUUUCUUUGGUAGUUCAUAUGAGGAAGUAAGUACUAUCUGCUUUCGCAGAGAUCUAUAUCUUAUUCACGUUCCGUAUGUGAAGCACCUUUUUCUUCUCUCAUAUAUCUUCUACUUCUUAUUAGUCACACUUUUACAACGAUUUGUAAAACAUAGUUACUAAUACGGAAUCAUACAUUCAAGUAGAAGAACCAACUGUUUUGAACUAUUCAAGAACAUUUUACAACACCUUCGAAAGGUGUGUUCUUGACACUUGCAAGACAUUUCUUGCAAAUACCCCUUCCAUGUCCAUCUUUUCAUAAAGAAAGUUUGUUCCCUUGGAGUUAUUUAUCUUCUUCAUUUGACUUCUCCUUUGACUACAAUAGUCAUGGUCCCUAAACUCCCACUAUCUCUCUUGAAACCUUUUUUUCAAUUGUGUUAUACACAUCAAACAUUUUGGAGAGCAUGUGGUUUAUUGUUCACUACAUAGUUUACAAUAAGCUUAGUGAACGAUUAGGAUAGGGAAACAAAGGUGAAGUCCUUGCCUAGUUUCCGUCUCGUUAAGUGUUUUAACACUUCAACACUUAAUGAUUCAAAAUCAUCAUAAGUCCAUGUUAAUGGACUAUUUUUGUCAACCAACCAUUAUGUUCUAAACAUAAUUACAAACCUUCAAGAGUUGUACAAGGCAACUCUCAUUUCUUCAUACAACAAUUUGUAAA